RNAcentral lists this ribosomal RNA (653 nucleotides) under uncultured bacterium. RNAcentral describes it as "bacterial SSU rRNA". It matches the Rfam family "Bacterial small subunit ribosomal RNA", at positions 233 to 885 of the family's 1533-position model. The record is from RNAcentral.
GCGGCCUAUCAGCUUGUUGGCGAGGUAACGGCUCACCAAGGCAACGACGGGUAGCUGGUCUGAGAGGAUGGCCAGCCACAUUGGGACUGAGAUACGGCCCAGACUCCUACGGGAGGCAGCAGUGGGGAAUCUUGCGCAAUGGCCUAACGGCUGACGCAGCGACGCCGCGUGUGGGAUGAAGCUCCUCGGAGUGUAAACCACUGUUGCCCGGGACGAAUAGCUCGAUUAAUCGAGCCUGACGGUACCGGGUGAGGAAGCACCGGCUAACUCCGUGCCAGCAGCCGCGGUAAUACGGGGGGUGCGAGCGUUGUCCGGAAUCACUGGGCGUAAAGGGCGCGUAGGUGGUUUGAUAAGGGUGUGGUGAAAGUCCGGGGCUCAACCCCGGAUCUGCCGUGCCGACUGUCAAACUCGAGGACUGUAGAGGCAGACGGAAUUCCGGGUGUAGCGGUGGAAUGCGUAGAGAUCCGGAGGAAGACCGGUGGCGAAGGCGGUCUGCUGGGCAGUUUCUGACACUGAGGCGCGACAGCGUGGGGAGCAAACAGGAUUAGAUACCCUGGUAGUCCACGCCGUAAACGAUGGGUACUAGGUGCCUGGGGGAGCGACCCUCUGGGUGCCGGCGCUAACGCAGGAAGUACCCCGCCUGGGGAGUACGG